UCUGUCCUCAAAAAGGUAUACUAGUGAUGGGUCCAGCAACACCGAUGCGUUGGCGCAUGCAUCGAGCUCAUAGAGCGAAACCCUGUGUCAGUGUGUGUAUCGCCUUGCGAAAGUCACGUGACCGAUACAGGAACUGUUUCGAACUGACACUGACGCACCAAAGUGGCCAAGCUGUGUUUAUAAGGAAGCGUAUGUCAACAG
Thalassophryne amazonica is the source of this 201-nucleotide long non-coding RNA. RefSeq lists it as uncharacterized. NCBI's taxonomy places the organism in Eukaryota, Metazoa, Chordata, Actinopteri, Batrachoidiformes, Batrachoididae. The record is from RefSeq and is a predicted model, not a curated record. The transcript has 3 exons.